CAUUUAUGGAGGUCCGUGAAUUAACUUUUUAGAGUUAAACUAUCAGAAUUCGGCGGAAAUAGCGGUACAAAAACUAAAAAAUCUACUGGUAUGCUGGAACAUCGCGAACGGAAUCCUGCGAAAUGGUCGAGACAAGGUUUCGGGAAAAAUCAAGGACGAAUUUUGGAAAACUUAAGCGGUGGAUUUACCAGAGAGUCAUCCGGUAAUCUGAGGGCGAUUCUUUUGCGUGAAGGCGAAAAAUAAGCCAGCUGCGGUCAUUAAAAAUAUAAAUAUGAGACCGAACAACAUACGGUUAACGACAGGCACUGUGGUUCAAAUCACGCGGAAAAAAUUUCGUUUCCUGGGUGUGGUCAGUAAGAGAUUUUAAGAAGCUGAACUUGAUUCUCUGGAAUUGGAAAAAAAUAUCGAAAACUAUGGGAUUUCACUGGAGCUGUAUUGGCCAAUCCGAACCCUAUCGAGUAAGUCCAUCAAGCUCUUUCAUGCACCAUUCUUCUGUGCAUCAAAAUCUGAUAAAUUUUUUUUUUAUCAUGAAUCGAAAGGCUACUGGCUCGGAAUAGUCAAUAGAUCAUAUAGACAAAAUGCAAUCUAAUUGAUUGUCAAAAGCGACGAAAGAUCGCCAUGAAAUCCGAUGCAAUUAUGGGCACGAUGGAAGUGAAACUGCAGCAAAUAACCAUGGUAAUAUGAACAGCACAAUCUUUAGGAAUACACUCCCCGGAUCAUAUGGAUACGACAAUGAACAUGAAAAUCAACAGGUGCAUUUCCUGUUCGGCAUUGACCCAUAUUUUAUUGAACCGCACUUCGACGACUUUGCCAAUCAUAGUUUUAAAUUGUGUCAUUUAGAAAAUGCGAUAAAUAUCUGGGCUCCUCGGAACUCUCCCUUAAAGAUAAACCGAAACCGGACUGUGCCUGGGAGCGACGGCGGUGGAUUCUUGAAAAGGUAGCCUAAUUGGAACCGAGAAAUUGAUCUCUGUACUGCAUUCCCAUCUGUACAAAUAUCUAAAAUCCAUCAUGCAAGCUUGAGAGAACAGGUCGUUGAAUUUUGGUCAGCUUAUCGGAACUGUUCUAAAAGAUUCUUCUUUCCUUUUUGGCAUUUGGUUUGGCGACAUAGACGUGAAUCGGUACCAGUUGAUAUUUAAAGUUGAGCUAAUGAUUGCUUUUUUAUUCCUGCCGAAAUAAAUUGAAAAGAAAUUAAAAACAGUGUUCCCGCACUCGGAUGACCGGUUUAUAUAUUGAAUCGAGAAUAAAAAUUUUAUUGCUA
This is a long non-coding RNA of Uranotaenia lowii, 1258 nucleotides long. RefSeq lists it as uncharacterized. The transcript has 6 exons. The record is from RefSeq and is a predicted model, not a curated record. NCBI's taxonomy places the organism in Eukaryota, Metazoa, Arthropoda, Insecta, Diptera, Culicidae.